GUCUUCGUGGUGUAGUGGUCUACAUGCUGGACGCGUAACCGAGAGGUCCGUGGUUCGAUUCCCGGCGAAGGCG
Non-coding RNA from Stegodyphus mimosarum, 73 nucleotides. The record is from Rfam. NCBI's taxonomy places the organism in Eukaryota, Metazoa, Arthropoda, Arachnida, Araneae, Eresidae.